AUUUCCCUUGUAUGACAUGUACAUUCUGUUCCAGUAUAAUUGGUGCAUCAUAUAUUUUCUAAUUGCCAGCUUCAGUUGAGUACCAAUGCAAGUUGUUGAUGCCUGGCGGUCAGAUCGCCUCGUACGAAAGUACCCUAUUGAAUGAUGCACUGUUAAUUGAAAUAAUUGUUCCGAUUCUAGUAAUUUCAUUGUUCAUUCAUCGGAUGGUUAUAGCACAAUGCUGUUAUAUCCUAUCUAAACUCUUCUAUGAUGCAUAUGUUUUUCUAUUUUCUGAUCUCAUUGCAGUAUGACUUAAUUGGACAUUUGAUAUAUCCUAGCAGGCGCCGAUUGCCAGGCAAUGGGAAUCUCCUGUGAACUGUCCUUGUUUAAUCAUGCGGGAGAAGUACAUUUUUAGUCCCUCAACUCUUUCGAAAGUUUACAAAUGAUCCCUAAACUCCAAAACCAGCAAACUAUAAUCCCUCAACUUUCAAAACUGGAUAAGUUUAGUCCCUGGUGCUGCUUCGUGUGCUUUCUUUGCUGACCAGGAGUAGUUUUUGACUAAAACUGGACACAUCAUGUGCGGGUCCCACUUGUCAGCGUCAGGAGAACGAAAAUAAUAGCUUUACACAAAAUGCACAAUGCAUAGUUCGAACCUGAGACCUCCAACAUAAAGAGUGCACAAGCUAGCCACUCACCAGGAGAUGUUUUGUGUUUAACAUAGAGGUAUAUAUUGAUUUAUAUUAUAUACGGGGGUAUUAAACGUGUUCAAAAUUAACUAAUUUAAAAGCGAUUUCUUUUUCUUUAUUCCUAAUUAAAACUGAAGAAUAAGUAGUUAUGCCAUGCUGUGUAUUUCUUUUCCUUGUUUUUCUCAAUUAAUUAGUAGUUUGACUCGUGCUUUUGCAUUUGUAUUAGGUGUUUGCUGAUUCAACUCUGCGCCUUCUUUUUUUCUGGACUCAUGUGCAUGAUGGAGUAGCUAUAUUGAUGUGUACGAAUUCAUACAACAGAGAUAUAAAUGUCAAAAUUUGUAAAAAUAAUGUAAGUAGUUAUUAGUCUUUUUAAAUUUAAUAAGUAGCUAACUAACUAGUUGACUGAGACGUACCAUUUGUUCUGCAUUUCUACUUAUAUCCGUUGCGUGUGCACUCUGCGUGUGGUGCUGAUUUCGAGUGUGUGCACCCUGCGUGAGGUGUGGUCAUGUGGAGUUCGUGUGUGCACCCAGUACUUCCUCUGUAAACUUUUAUAAGAUCGUUUAGAUCACUGAAGUAGUGAUCUUAAUGAUCUUAUACAAGUUUACAGAGGGAGUAAUAUAUAACAUGUAUCACUCAAUACAACAUCAGAUUAUUUUUGGAUAGGUGGCUAGCUCCAGUGUGACGCUGUGGGAGGUGCCCAGUUCGACUAUUACACGGCAUUUUUUGCCGCGUUGAUUUAUUUCACGUUUCCACCACUGACAGACGGGUCCCACUAUAUAUUUUGUGCAUCUCCUGUGACUGGCAGGUGUGUCCCGCCCAGUUUGAGUAAAAAAUGACACCGGUGAGCAAAGAAGCCACCUAAAGCAGCAUCAGGGUCUAAACUUAUCCGGUUUUAAAAGUUGAGGGACUGCAGUUUGCUGGUUUUGGAGUUUAGGGACCAUUUGUAAAUUUUCGUAAAGAGUUAAGGGACGAAAAAUAUACUUUUCACUGGAGUUACUUAUUUAUAUGGGAAUCCACAUACAAACAUGUGAUAAACUGAUAAUAGCUCAUAGGGAGUUACUUAUUUUACUGGAGCCUUAUAACUGCAUGUGAUUACUAAAAAGCCUUGCGAUUUAUCAACUACAUUAAGAAAUUUUGAUCGCCUACGCAUUUUAGAAAUUGAAUUUCCUGAAUCCUGAUUGAUUUAUCUGUGACCAGGUGAAUCUCACCAACCGUUCAAGCAGAGCAGUUAGCAUCUUCAAUUUCUUUUUGGAUACUUUAUUUGUAAUCUAGUGAAUUAAGCAUUGUAAGAGUAGUGCUUCAGGCAAUUCAUGACAACUGGUGAUUAUUUUCCACUUGCAUAGACCGUAUAGCCUGUUCUUCUUCCCAAGUAAACCUACCACAUCAACCUUUUGGUUACACAUGAUUAAAAUCGUAGCCUUUUUCUGUAGGGUCUCGUUAAGGUUUUUAAGCCUGAAUUCAGUUGGCCCUUUCUUGUUCUUGCUUAGCCUCGAACACUUACUAAAAUUAUGUUCACUAUGUGGUGCCCUGUCUUAUUCAGAAUCAGUCCAGCUCUUCUGAAUGUGAGCUAAUGUUUAUUAGAGGUCCACUCACUUUUGCAUUACACUGCAGUACUUUUGAAACGGAAUUGCACUGCAGUAUCACUGUUGAACUUCUGAAUUUUGUUCUCUUUUAUGUCAGCACUUGUUCCCUGUUCCUUUUUUUGUGCAGGACAAUAUACUGUUAUAGUCUUAUGCUAUCUCCUAUCCUGCAAAUACCUUUCAAAGUAGAAAUCAUUACUUCAAACUGGAGUAAGGUUGUUGCUACGGACUAGCUGGUUUCGUGAGGUUCUCAGCCCAGCCUUGCUCUCACUUCUGGACCAUAAACCCCUUCGCCUCCUGGCCUCAACCGUGGUGGCAGCCCCUGCUUGCCUUUCUAGAGACGGGUCCUGCCAUUUGUUUUGGUACUAGAGAGUCUCCAGUAGCUGGUCAGCUUUGCUUCACAGUAACCUUCACCUUCAGCUGAUUCCCGGUAACACAACACAUCAGUCAUUUAGCAUAUCUUUUGCAUGCACCGUUGGUUUGCACGGUGGUGUAGACAUACAAAGAGGCAAGGAAUCAGGUCCCACGAAAUUUUGGCACUGCACUGUCAACCUCAGGGACAACUGCCAGUAGGCUGUCUUUGCAUCUUGGUUUGCUAUCGGGGAACAAUUAACGUCAGAUGUCGUUGUGUUGCUCUAAUUAUAUUUCUUCAACCAAUGGCGGCGUUGAUAAUUAGUGUCCGACUGGUAUUUGUUAUGAUGACGAAAGAUCCUCACAUCAAAUGAGUCUCACAGUGUCUAGCUGUUGCCCCCAUUAUUGAGGAUUGCACACAACAAAUAUAAUGUUUGGUUAACCGAAAA
Aegilops tauschii subsp. strangulata is the source of this 3045-nucleotide RNA transcript. RefSeq lists it as uncharacterized. The record is from RefSeq and is a predicted model, not a curated record. NCBI's taxonomy places the organism in Eukaryota, Viridiplantae, Streptophyta, Magnoliopsida, Poales, Poaceae.